AGAUUGAACGCUGGCGGCAUGCCUAACACAUGCAAGUCGAACGGGAGUAGCAAUACUCUAGUGGCGGACGGGUGAGGAAUACGUAGGAAUUUGCCCUUAAGUGGGGGAUAACCCGGGGAAACCCGGAUUAAUACCGCAUGACCUCGAAAGAGCAAAGUGGGGGAUCGCAAGACCUCACGCUUUUGGAGAAGCCUACGUCGGAUUAGCUAGUUGGUGAGGUAAUGGCUCACCAAGGCGACGAUCCGUAACUGGUCUGAGAGGAUGAUCAGUCACACCGGAACUGAGACACGGUCCGGACUCCUACGGGAGGCAGCAGGUGGGGAAUAGUUGG
This 331-nucleotide ribosomal RNA is filed under the name uncultured soil bacterium. Its description in RNAcentral is "bacterial SSU rRNA". It matches the Rfam family "Bacterial small subunit ribosomal RNA", at positions 26 to 368 of the family's 1533-position model. The record is from RNAcentral.